UACUAAAGUUGUUGCGGUUAAAAAGCUCGUAGUUGAAAUUGUGUCCUGCGGCGUCGGUCUACCGGUUGCGGUACGACAGGCGCGUCUGCGGGGCUUCUCGCCGGUGCGUGUUCACCGCCGACGCGUCGCCGCGCUCGCGUAGCGGCGUCGAGGCGGGCCCUCGCGGCUGUUUACUUUGAACAAAUUAGAGUGCUCAAAGCGGGCUAAUAUUCGCCUGAAUAUUGUGCGCAUGGAAUAAUAGAAUAGGACCUCGGUUCUGUUUUGGGCUUUCUGAUACCAGAGGUAAUGAUUAAUAGGGACAACUGGGGGCAUUCGUAUUGCGACGUUAGAGGUGAAAUUCUUGGAUCGUCGCAAGACGGACUAAAGCGAAAGCAUUUGCCAAAGGUGUUUUCAUUAAUCAAGAACGAAAGUUAGAGGUUCGAAGGCGAUUAGAUACCGCUGUAGUUCUAACCAUAAAUGAUGCCAGCCAGCGAUCCGCCGAAGUUUCUUAUUUUGAUUCGGUGGGCAGCUCCCGGGAAACCAAAGCUUUC
Molecule: ribosomal RNA, 530 nt
Filed under: Nyctiophylax affinis
Lineage: Eukaryota; Metazoa; Arthropoda; Insecta; Trichoptera; Polycentropodidae
Description: SSU rRNA
Rfam family: Eukaryotic small subunit ribosomal RNA
Source: RNAcentral